AUUGUAUUAUUAAUAAGCACCACCGAAACCGCUGUCAAUACUGCAGCUGUCCAAUGUGAAAGAAAACCCAUUGAAGUAUCACGAGAAAAAUCUUCCAACUGUGCUGCUUCAACAGAAAAAAUCUAUAUCCGAAAGGACCUUCGUAGCCCAUUAACUGCAACUCCAACUUUUGUAGCAGAUAGUGAAAGUACAAGGUCAACAGGACUGUUAGAUUCAGGAAUGUUCGUGAAUAUUCAUCCAUCUGGAGUAAAAACUGAGUCAACUGUGCUGAUGACAUCAGAUAAGGCUGAAUCAUGUCAGGGAGAUUUAAGUACAUUGGCCAGUGUGGUUACAUCAUUAGCGAAUCUUGGAAAAACUAAAGAUCUUUCUCAAAAUAGUAAUGAAAUGUCUAUGAUUGAAAGCUUAAGCAAUGAUGAUACCUCUUUGUGUGAAUUUCAAGAAAUGCAGACCAACGGUGAUGUUUCAAGGGCAUUUGACACUCUUGCAAAAGCACUGAAUCCUGGAGAGAGCACAGCCUGCCAGAGCUCAGUAGCGGGCAUGGAAGGAAGUGUACACCUAAUCACUGGAGAUUCA
This 573-nucleotide small RNA is filed under the name Pan troglodytes (chimpanzee). Its description in RNAcentral is "processed transcript". The record is from RNAcentral. Lineage: Eukaryota; Metazoa; Chordata; Mammalia; Primates; Hominidae.